This 440-nucleotide ribosomal RNA is filed under the name uncultured bacterium. RNAcentral describes it as "partial 16S ribosomal RNA". It matches the Rfam family "Bacterial small subunit ribosomal RNA", at positions 338 to 795 of the family's 1533-position model. The record is from RNAcentral.
CCUACGGGGUGCAGCAGUGGGGAAUAUUGCACAAUGGGGGAAACCCUGAUGCAGCGACGCCGCGUGAGCGAUGAAGUAUUUCGGUAUGUAAAGCUCUAUCAGCAGGGAAGAAGAUGACGGUACCUGACUAAGAAGCCCCGGCUAACUACGUGCCAGCAGCCGCGGUAAGACGUAGGGGGCAAGCGUUAUCCGGAUUUACUGGGUGUAAAGGGAGCGUAGACGGCGGUGCAAGCCAGAUGUGAAAGCCCGUGGCUUAACCACGGGACUGCAUUUGAAACUGUAUGGCUGGAGUGUCGGAGAGGCAGGCGGAAUUCCUAGUGUAGCGGUGAAAUGCGUAGAUAUUAGGAGGAACACCAGUGGCGAAGGCGGCCUGCUGGGCUUUUACUGACGCUGAGGCUCGAAAGUGUGGGGAGCAAACAGGAUUAGAUACCCCGGUAGUC